This is a non-coding RNA of Hydra vulgaris (swiftwater hydra), 565 nucleotides long. Lineage: Eukaryota; Metazoa; Cnidaria; Hydrozoa; Anthoathecata; Hydridae. The record is from RefSeq and is a predicted model, not a curated record.
UAUUAUUUCAACAAAAAGUGGUUUACGAUUUGAUCUUUUAAUGAUAAAUUUUGUUAAUAACGAAUCAUAAUAUUCCAAAAUUAGUUCUAGUUGUCAGGUUUCGUACCAAACAGUACCAAACGCCGCAAAACAACUUUUGGGUUUCAUGUAACUGUUAUUUGAGAAUCUGAAGCAAUGUUUGCGUAAUUAUAAUAACUAUGAACAUUUAUCUGGAAAAUUUACAAAACACCAUGUUAUCUUAUGCAAAGAAUGAUGGCAAAACAUACUAUUCCGAUGGUUAAGAAAUUUGGUGGAAAAUGGUUCGUGGAGAAGGAGAUUUAAAUUAUGGAUUGGCCUGCGCAGUCACCAUAUCUUAAUCCCAUCAAAAACCUUUGCACUAAUGUCAAAUGGCGAUUUCUAAAGAAAUACCAAAAACUCAGCUCGAAAAACAUUUCUUUAAAACGUUGUCAAGAUCUGAUCCCGUGAUUCGGUGAUUGAUAAGCCGAUUCGGUGCGAAGCUGAGAUUUAAAUCGCGGACAUGAUUUAAAUAUUAAAUUUUUUAGUAUUAUUUUUCCAAUAUUUACAA